GGAGCCUUAGCUCAGUGGUAGAGUCCACGAUUCCAACUUGGCUUUGAUCUUUCAAAGAUUCGUAGGAUUAUCGUGUUGUCGUAGGUUCGAUCCCUGCAGGCUUCA
Cryptococcus amylolentus CBS 6039 is the source of this 105-nucleotide transfer RNA. It matches the Rfam family "tRNA". From Rfam's summary of the family: Transfer RNA (tRNA) molecules are approximately 80 nucleotides in length. Their secondary structure includes four short double-helical elements and three loops (D, anti-codon, and T loops). Further hydrogen bonds mediate the characteristic L-shaped molecular structure. tRNAs have two regions of fundamental functional importance: the anti-codon, which is responsible for specific mRNA codon recognition, and the 3' end, to which the tRNAs corresponding amino acid is attached (by aminoacyl-tRNA synthetases). tRNAs cope with the degeneracy of the genetic code in two manners: having more than one tRNA (with a specific anti-codon) for a particular amino acid; and 'wobble' base-pairing, i.e. permitting non-standard base-pairing at the 3rd anti-codon position. The record is from Rfam. NCBI's taxonomy places the organism in Eukaryota, Fungi, Basidiomycota, Tremellomycetes, Tremellales, Cryptococcaceae.